GAUGAACGCUGGCGGCGUGCCUAAUACAUGCAAGUCGAGCGAACGGACGAGAAGCUUGCUUCUCUGAUGUUAGCGGCGGACGGGUGAGUAACACGUGGAUAACCUACCUAUAAGACUGGGAUAACUUCGGGAAACCGGAGCUAAUACCGGAUAAUAUUUUGAACCGCAUGGUUCAAAAGUGAAAGACGGUCUUGCUGUCACUUAUAGAUGGAUCCGCGCUGCAUUAGCUAGUUGGUAAGGUAACGGCUUACCAAGGCAACGAUGCAUAGCCGACCUGAGAGGGUGAUCGGCCACACUGGAACUGAGACACGGUCCAGACUCCUACGGGAGGCAGCAGUAGGGAAUCUUCCGCAAUGGGCGAAAGCCUGACGGAGCAACGCCGCGUGAGUGAUGAAGGUCUUCGGAUCGUAAAACUCAGUUAUUAGGGAAGAACAUAUGUGUAAGUAACUGUGCACAUCUUGACGGUACCUAAUCAGAAAGCCACGGCUAACUACGUGCCAGCAGCCGCGGUAAUACGUAGGUGGCAAGCGUUAUCCGGAAUUAUUGGGCGUAAAGCGCGCGUAGGCGGUUUUUUAAGUCUGAUGUGAAAGCCCACGGCUCAACCGUGGAGGGUCAUUGGAAACUGGAAAACUUGAGUGCAGAAGAGGAAAGUGGAAUUCCAUGUGUAGCGGUGAAAUGCGCAGAGAUAUGGAGGAACACCAGUGGCGAAGGCGACUUUCUGGUCUGUAACUGACGCUGAUGUGCGAAAGCGUGGGGAUCAAACAGGAUUAGAUACCCUGGUAGUCCACGCCGUAAACGAUGAGUGCUAAGUGUUAGGGGGUUUCCGCCCCUUAGUGCUGCAGCUAACGCAUUAAGCACUCCGCCUGGGGAGUACGACCGCAAGGUUGAAACUCAAAGGAAUUGACGGGGACCCGCACAAGCGGUGGAGCAUGUGGUUUAAUUCGAAGCAACGCGAAGAACCUUACCAAAUCUUGACAUCCUUUGACAACUCUAGAGAUAGAGCCUUCCCCUUCGGGGGACAAAGUGACAGGUGGUGCAUGGUUGUCGUCAGCUCGUGUCGUGAGAUGUUGGGUUAAGUCCCGCAACGAGCGCAACCCUUAAGCUUAGUUGCCAUCAUUAAGUUGGGCACUCUAAGUUGACUGCCGGUGACAAACCGGAGGAAGGUGGGGAUGACGUCAAAUCAUCAUGCCCCUUAUGAUUUGGGCUACACACGUGCUACAAUGGACAAUACAAAGGGCAGCGAAACCGCGAGGUCAAGCAAAUCCCAUAAAGUUGUUCUCAGUUCGGAUUGUAGUCUGCAACUCGACUACAUGAAGCUGGAAUCGCUAGUAAUCGUAGAUCAGCAUGCUACGGUGAAUACGUUCCCGGGUCU
This 1372-nucleotide ribosomal RNA is filed under the name uncultured bacterium. RNAcentral describes it as "bacterial SSU rRNA". It matches the Rfam family "Bacterial small subunit ribosomal RNA", at positions 28 to 1381 of the family's 1533-position model. The record is from RNAcentral.